This 254-nucleotide ribosomal RNA is filed under the name uncultured bacterium. RNAcentral describes it as "partial 16S ribosomal RNA". It matches the Rfam family "Bacterial small subunit ribosomal RNA", at positions 1247 to 1500 of the family's 1533-position model. The record is from RNAcentral.
AGGCGAAGCCGCGAGGUGGAGCAAAUCCCAAAAAUAACGUCUCAGUUCGGAUUGUAGUCCGCAACUCGACUACAUGAAGCUGGAAUCGCUAGUAAUCGCGAAUCAGAAUGUCGCGGUGAAUACGUUCCCGGGUCUUGUACACACCGCCCGUCACACCAUGGGAGUCAGCAACGCCCGAAGCCGGUGACCCAACCGAAAGGAGGGAGCCGUCGAAGGUGGGGCCGAUAACUGGGGUGAAGUCGUAACAAGGUAGC